GAUGAACGCUGGCGGCGUGCCUAAUACAUGCAAGUCGAGCGAACAGAUAAGGAGCUUGCUCCUUUGACGUUAGCGGCGGACGGGUGAGUAACACGUGGGUAACCUACCUAUAAGACUGGAAUAACUCCGGGAAACCGGGGCUAAUGCCGGAUAACAUUUAGAACCGCAUGGUUCUAAAGUGAAAGAUGGUUUUGCUAUCACUUAUAGGUGGACCCGCGCCGUAUUAGCUAGUUGGUAAGGUAACGGCUUACCAAGGCAACGAUACAUAGCCGACCUGAGAGGGUGAUCGGACACACUGGAACGGAGACAGGGUCCAGACUCCGACGGGAGGCAGCAGUAGGGAAUCUUCCGAAAUGGGCGAAAGCGUGAAGGAGCAACGCCGCGUGAGUGAUGAAGGUCGUCGGAUCGUAAAACUCUGUUAUUAGGGAAGAACAUAUGUGUAAGUAACUGUGCACAUCGGGACGGUACCUAAUCAGAAAGCCACGGCUAACUACGUG
This 497-nucleotide ribosomal RNA is filed under the name uncultured bacterium. Its description in RNAcentral is "partial 16S ribosomal RNA". It matches the Rfam family "Bacterial small subunit ribosomal RNA", at positions 28 to 507 of the family's 1533-position model. The record is from RNAcentral.